AAGUCGUAACAAGGUUUCCGUAGGUGAACCUGCGGAAGGAUCAUUACCAAAAACGUAGCUGCUCUGGUUUACGCCAGUAGCACGCUUCAACCCUUUGUGAACCAAACCAACCUUACGCUUCGGCAGCUGGCUCUGAGCAGAAAUGCUUUGGCUGUGAGCCUGCCGAUGGCACCAAUUUAAACCUGUCGUCAAAUAUUGUCUGAACAAACCAUUUUCGAAUGAAAAUUAAAACUUUCAACAACGGAUCUCUUGGUUCUC
RNAcentral lists this unclassified non-coding RNA (258 nucleotides) under Orbilia xinjiangensis. Its description in RNAcentral is "Dactylella xinjiangensis partial internal transcribed spacer region". The stretch from base 1 to 46 matches the Rfam family "Eukaryotic small subunit ribosomal RNA", at positions 1786 to 1831 of the family's 1831-position model. Lineage: Eukaryota; Fungi; Ascomycota; Orbiliomycetes; Orbiliales; Orbiliaceae. The record is from RNAcentral.